Molecule: ribosomal RNA, 1433 nt
Filed under: uncultured beta proteobacterium
Lineage: Bacteria; Pseudomonadati; Pseudomonadota; Betaproteobacteria
Description: 16S ribosomal RNA
Rfam family: Bacterial small subunit ribosomal RNA
Source: RNAcentral
GAGUUUGAUCCUGGCUCAGAUUGAACGCUGGCGUUUUGCCUUACACAUGCAAGUCGAACGGCAGCACGGGUGCUUGCACCUGGUGGCGAGUGGCGAACGGGUGAGUAAUACAUCGGAACAUGUCCUGUAGUGGGGGAUAGCCCGGCGAAAGCCGGAUUAAUACCGCAUACGAUCUACGAAUGAAAGCGGGGGACCUACGGGCCUCGCGCUAUAGGGUUGGCCGAUGGCUGAUUAGCUAGUUGGUGGGGUAAAGGCCUACCAAGGCGACGAUCAGUAGCUGGUCUGAGAGGACGACCAGCCACACUGGGACUGAGACACGGCCCAGACUCCUACGGGAGGCAGCAGUGGGGAAUUUUGGACAAUGGGCGAAAGCCUGAUCCAGCAAUGCCGCGUGUGUGAAGAAGGCCUUCGGGUUGUAAAGCACUUUUGUCCGGAAAGAAAUCCUUGGCUCUAAUACAGUCGGGGGAUGACGGUACCGGAAGAAUAAGCACCGGCUAACUACGUGCCAGCAGCCGCGGUAAUACGUAGGGUGCGAGCGUUAAUCGGAAUUACUGGGCGUAAAGCGUGCGCAGGCGGUUUGCUAAGACCGAUGUGAAAUCCCCGGGCUCAACCUGGGAACUGCAUUGGUGACUGGCAGGCUAGAGUAUGGCAGAAGGGGGUAGAAUUCCACGUGUAGCAGUGAAAUGCGUAGAGAUGUGGGAGGAAUACCGAUGGCGAAGGCCAGCCCCCUGGGCCAAUACUGACGCUCAUGCACGAAAGCGUGGGGAGCAAACAGGGUUUAGAUACCCUGGUAGUCCACGCCCUAAACGAUGUCAAUUAGUUGUUGGGGGAUUCAUUUCCCUUAGUAACGUAGCUAACGCGUGAAGUUGACCGCCUGGGGAGUACGGUCGCAAGAUUAAAACUCAAAGGAAUUGACGGGGACCCGCACAAGCGGUGGAUGAUGUGGAUUAAUUCGAUGCAACGCGAAAAACCUUACCUACCCUUGACAUGGUCGGAAUCCCGCUGAGAGGUGGGAGUGCUCGAAAGAGAACCGGCGCACAGGUGCUGCAUGGCUGUCGUCAGCUCGUGUCGUGAGAUGUUGGGUUAAGUCCCGCAACGAGCGCAACCCUUGUCCUUAGUUGCUACGCAAGAGCACUCUAAGGAGACUGCCGGUGACAAACCGGAGGAAGGUGGGGAUGACAACAAAUCCUCAUGGCCCUUAUGGGUAGGGCUUCACACGUCAUACAAUGGUCGGAACAGAGGGUUGCCAACCCGCGAGGGGGAGCUAAUCCCAGAAAACCGAUCGUAGUCCGGAUUGCACUCUGCAACUCGAGUGCAUGAAGCUGGAAUCGCUAGUAAUCGCGGAUCAGCAUGCCGCGGUGAAUACGUUCCCGGGUCUUGUACACACCGCCCGUCACNCCAUGGGAGUGGGUUUUCCCAGAAGUGGCUUGUCU